CUUUGAAUGAAGUUGCUAUGUUCUUGGAUAACUUAAGGAGGGAAACCAAUAAUGAAGGGGUUAAAAUGACUUGUGGAAUUAGGCAGAGAAAGAAGUGCAGAUUUUACACCCCUCACCCCCCUCCUCCUCCUUCUUCUAGGACAGAGUGUAAAAGAGUGAUACAGACAGCUGAGCCCCUCCCAAUUUAUUCAACUAAAAACUGUAGAGUUGAUAAUAAAAGGCAGAAUAUAACUCCUAAAGUUAUUUGUUUUUGGUGCAAUAAACAACAUUAUUUAAGGUCUUGC
This is a non-coding RNA of Pelobates cultripes (western spadefoot toad), 284 nucleotides long. The record is from the annotation of a GenBank genome assembly. NCBI's taxonomy places the organism in Eukaryota, Metazoa, Chordata, Amphibia, Anura, Pelobatidae.